This 255-nucleotide ribosomal RNA is filed under the name uncultured bacterium. RNAcentral describes it as "partial 16S ribosomal RNA". It matches the Rfam family "Bacterial small subunit ribosomal RNA", at positions 524 to 776 of the family's 1533-position model. The record is from RNAcentral.
UACGAAGGGGGCUAGCGUUGCUCGGAAUCACUGGGCGUAAAGGGUGCGUAGGCGGGUCUUUUAAGUCAGGGGUGAAAUCCUGGAGCUCAACUCCAGAACUGCCUUUGAUACUGAGGAUCUUGAGUUCGGGAGAGGUGAGUGGAACUGCGAGUGUAGAGGUGAAAUUCGUAGAUAUUCGCAAGAACACCAGUGGCGAAGGCGGCUCACUGGCCCGAUACUGACGCUGAGGCGCGAAAAGCGUGGGGAGCAAACGGG